This 220-nucleotide unclassified non-coding RNA is filed under the name uncultured fungus. RNAcentral's name for it is "sequence contains ITS1". The record is from RNAcentral. Lineage: Eukaryota; Fungi.
UUGCUUAUUUAAAUAAUUUGUUCAGACAUCACUGUAUUCAACCAGAUUUUUAAACUGUAGCAGCCUUUUGGGCAUAUAAGACCUCAAAAAAAAAAAAUUUGAAGCCAAACCGAACCCAAGUAAACCACAAUGGGGCAGUAAACAAAGGAUUAGGGUUCGUGGGGAUAUUAAAGCCCACACGCCCUCAUUAAUGAUCCUUCCGCAGGUUCACCUACGGAAA